GCCAUCUUUGUUUUUAAAUGCAGGAUGGAGCUAGCGUUUUUGUCUAUUUACUGUCUUGAAUGCCAAGCUGAGAGUCUUUGUUGGACAAUAAUGUGUUAUUGGACUCGCACUCCCAUGACAAGAUGCUGAAAACUGCAGCCACACAAUGGGACACUUUCCAGGCCAUCGCUCUCGGAGCAGGAAUGCAGCUCAACUUGUCAGAUUUGCCUGGAGGACGUCAUGUUGCUAAAUGAGGCCCUUGCAGAGCAUUUGGAGAUGCGCACCGAAAACACUGCCAUCCAAAUCUCAUGUAUAAAUCCCACAACAGAAUCCACAGAGAGAUAAAGACACUCGGAAGAGAGUAAGUGGGCCAAGGAAAGUUGCCGGCUUUGCCCGAGGAUGGGACUUUUCCUGGUGGAGGCUGGAAUGCAAAGCUCCUGUCUGUGUUUUGUUGUCUUCUCUUUUUCUUUGGCACACUUUUGAUUUGUAGUCCAACAGCUCCUGGCUGAUCAGAUUAAAAAUGACAGGACCCCUGAAAAAUGUUCCAACCUGUUCUUUCUUUCUACCUCCCCACCUCCCCUCCACUCCGCUGUCUCUGCAGACUGUUGCAGAGAGUGCGGAGUUGGGACAAGGAGCCCCUGCAGUCACAAGUAUGGAGACAUGAGGGGGAAACUGAACAGGGUGUAAACUUGUGAACCUGCCUGUCAGGAGGAGAAAGGGAGCAGCGGUAGCUCUGCACAGACGUGCACCGGGGAGUACAAGGCUCAGACAAAUGCAUGUCAGACUGGAAACUUAUCUGUCUGUAGGUGGACACAAACACAGUCUGGGCUGUUGUCUUGAAAGGGCAGAGCCUGUUUCGCUGAGAGUCUUGAGGGACUGUGUGAAUGAACCACAGCUCAAACAGUGCAUUGUUCCAUGCCUCUGUUCAUAAGACGCAGCUUGCUGGCACCGCAAAUUACCAGCGGUAAUACAUAAUAUGCAAAACAUGGCUCAUAAUGGAUUGUUUGGAAUCUUCCACUGCAUGUCUGGAAUUUCUUUGUGGAAAUAUGUAACACCGCAUAGUGUCUUUGAAAGUAAUAAAAAAACUAAUUGC
Molecule: long non-coding RNA, 1072 nt
Organism: Mugil cephalus (flathead mullet)
Lineage: Eukaryota; Metazoa; Chordata; Actinopteri; Mugiliformes; Mugilidae
Exons: 3
Source: RefSeq, a predicted model, not a curated record